Molecule: unclassified non-coding RNA, 4032 nt
Filed under: Priapulus caudatus
Lineage: Eukaryota; Metazoa; Priapulida; Priapulimorpha; Priapulimorphida; Priapulidae
Description: partitioning defective 6 homolog gamma-like, transcript variant X1
Source: RNAcentral
GCUAUAAAUCGCACAUAAAUACAACGACUACGUGUAUUAUUCAAACAGAAUGCGAUUUAAUUGUAGUUUAAAAGGCGUUUAUAUUUCCCUGCACCACUACUAGAUGUCAGUACCUGCAAAUCCCUACUUCCUAAAAACAAAGUACUUCCGGGCGAUGUACGAACUGUAUUGUUUGGUUCGUGUUUUAGUUUUUUAAAAUCUACGUAAAGUUUUGGCGUUGAAUAUAGACAAUGUCAGAAAAAGUCGAUCCUUUGUUGAUGGAGGUUAAAAGCAAGUUUGAUGCCGAGUUCAGAAGAUUUUCCAUUGACAAGAGCCGGCUGACGACAUACGAGGGCUUUCACAAGCGUGUCGAACGGCUGCACUGCCUCAAGGAGAUUCCUUUCACUGUCUGCUACACAGACCCGAUACACGGUGACUUGCUGCCAAUAAACAACGAUGAGAACUACCGCAAGGCGUUUGAACGAUCAAAGGCGCUGCUCAAACUGCUCGUGCAAAGAAAGGGUGAGGACAUGGGCAUCGUGACGGGCUACGGCAAUGUCACGCGCCGCGGCGGCAAGCUGACGUCGCUCGUCGGUGGCGCCCCCGCCGCGGUGCGCCGCCCGGCGAUCGUCAUCGGGCAGCCCGAGGAUUUUCGCCGCGUGUCGGCGAUCAUCGACGUCGACGUCGUGCCGGAGACGCACCGGCGCGUGCGCCUCAUCAAGCACGGCUCCGACAAGCCGCUCGGCUUCUACAUCCGCGACGGCAUCAGCGUGCGCGUGACGCCGCGCGGACUCGAGAAGCUGCCCGGCAUCUUCAUCUCGCGGCUCGUGCCCGGUGGGCUCGCUGAGAGCACGGGCCUGCUCGCCGUCAACGAUGAGGUACUCGAGGUGAACGGCAUCGAGGUCGCGGGCAAGACGCUCGACCAGGUGACCGACAUGAUGGUCGCCAACAGCCAGAACCUCAUCGUCACCGUGAAGCCAGUCAACCAGAAGUACAACACAGCGCCACGACGCGGCUCGCCGAGCCGCUCGUCCAACGUGUCGUCGGCGUCGUACCACUCGGCGACGAACGCGCUCGUUAGCGAUGACGAGGAUGAUGAGGACAUCGUUAAGGAGUUCAUCCCGGCAACUGCGGCCUCGGCGAACGAAGGCGACGGCAGGGCAGAGACGGCCGCAAUGGUGACGUUGUAGGAGGACGCCGUCGCCGUGGGGAUGAGUUCCGAGGAAGCAGUCACCACGGUGACGGUCUUUGGGUGAGGAGGAGGCGAUCACCCUGAUCACAGGUGUAGGGUGAGGAGGGAGUGGCCAUGCUGACUUAGGGUGAUGAAGAUGUGGAAGUUGUCUUGGUAACUUUGUAGUUCAAGAAUGAGGCAGAAGAUAGAAAUGCUGGCCACAUCAUAUAUCAGUUCCAGUCGUAGGAGAGGUGAAUCUGGGUUUUAUAACGAUGGUUUUGAUGGGUGUUUUUUUAAUUGUUCGUGAUGGGAGAUAUUUUUUAUCUGGAAUGUCCUGACAUUGGUCGCCUUUCAUGUUGGUUGUUGUUCUGCAUAACUUUGCCCUAUUGUUAAGGUACAGUGUCAGUGUAGUGAAGUGCUGUCAUCUUUUAUAUACAGAUAAUUAAUUAAAUGUGACUGUUUAGGCACGUUGCAUAGCUGAUCGAUGAGAGUCAUGCUGAGUGAAUCUGGCUUGCCACAGUGAAUGAUUCUCAUUGAAUAUUAUUUGUACAACCUCCACCUUUUGCCAAACCUCACAAGACCGUAAUGGGAGUUGUUUCUAAUAGAUUAUUCUUGUACAUGCUUUUUCAUGAGUUGCUAUCAGACUCACUGUGCUGGGCACGUUGGCUCAUACUGUAUGAGCCUAAUGAUUAUGGAGUGGCUAAGAUGUUAGUCGCACUUGUGUAGAUAUUUAGCUCGAACAUGUUAUGCCGACGGCAUGUCAACAGUUCUAUAAUGUUUGUUUUUUAAAUGGUUGUAGGAGAGACAUUGAUCCUAAGUACAUUCUAAUACACUGACUUGAGUAAAUUUAGGUGCAUCUUAGCACAUUCGAAAACACUUGAGUGAAUUCAGGUGCACCUGAGUACAUUUGAACAUACUUGAGUGAAAUCAGGUAGACCUGGGUACAUUUGAAGAUAAUUGAGUACAAGUAGGAACACCUGAGUACAUUUCAGGAAACUUGAGUGCAAUUGGGUGCCCCUGAGUAGACGUUAAGACACUUGAGAACAUUCUGAUACACCUGAGAACAUUUAAUGGCACAUGAGUAAAUCCGUGUACAUCUGAAUCCAUUCGAAGAUACGCCGGUACUUUUGUUGUGAUUCAGUUGUAACGAGUGCACGUCGCCGCGUCUUACUCCCGUCUGCACGUGAUGUUCAUCCUUGUGUCACCAAGGUGAUACAGACUCAUCGUACGUCACGCACCAGCAUCCUCACCAAGGCUUGUGUGACCGAAUCGAACAUAAUGUCGUCCGUGAUGUCUGACGUCGUCUGUGACUCAGUCCGUGAUGCCAUCUGUAACAUAAUCUGUGCUAUCGUCCAUGGUGCCCGUGACUUCGUCCACGCCAUCCGUGAUAUCUGUGAUAUCCAUGUUGUCAUCCGUGAGGUCAUCCAUGAUGCCCAUGGCAUGACAGCGUCAGUGAUGUCCGUAACAUUAUCUGUAACAUCUAGGACAUAACAUUGUCUGUAGCGUCGAUCGUGACAUCACUUGUGACAUCAUCCGUGACGUCCUUGACAUCUGUGAUGCCAUCUGUGACAUCCGUGACAUCAUCUGUGAUUUCAUCCACGGCGUCAUCUGUGACAUGAUGCAUAACGCUGUCAGUGAUGUCGUCCGUGAUGUCUUCUGUGGCACGAGUCACCAGGCGACUGCUCGUACGCAUUCACACACGGAUGCUUCAAUCAGAGCAACGGCCGCAGCAUUGCCGGCUGAGCCGAUAGUUGUUGGUGAUUUCACCCCAAUAUGCAUUUGCUAGAGAACCGUCGGACUAAGGAAGAAUCUAGUUGUCACAGCAAUCUCGGAUUCAAGGUUGCCGAAAGGGUUGAAAACCCAGUAGCAGUGGCAGCGCGUUCUGCCUUGUAUAUAAUACUCAUAGCCUCCUCCCGUGAUGCAAUCAUGAUAAAACCAGUUUCGUUUACCUAUAGCUGGGGCAUCGUCGUUGUAGCUAUUGCUAUUUUUGCAAACGAGGCCAAUUUUUAUCAGGGUCCCCAAUACAAGUGCAGUGGUUUUCUAUCGCCGCGAUGUUGUUCCUAAUGUGCAUGUGAACAGCAAUGGAUAACUCUUUAUAACCAUUGGGGAUUGCGAAAGACCUUGGAUGCGUUUUAGCUACACUGGGGAGGGGGGUGGAGAGGGGCCAGAGUGACAUGGUUAUCAAAUGACCGAUGGUUUCAUACCUACAGUUGAGGUGAUGGUACAGCAGCCGUGUGUGGAGGUCUAUGUUACUGUCAGUAGAUGUACAACAGCAAGGUGUGGAGGUCUAUGUUACUGUCAGUAGGUGUACAGCAGCCGUGUGUGGAGGUCUAUGUUACUGUCAGUAGGUGUACAGCAGCCGUGUGUGGAGGUCUAUGUUACUGUCAGUGGAUGUACAACAGCCGUGUGUGGAGGUCCAGCGGGUCUGUCCCUAGUAUAUCAGUAGCAUCAAAUUACAAGAUUAAAUCGGCGUCUUGUGUGCGAGAUGUUAAUAGAUAAUUAGUGAGUUUCUGGUAUAUACGUGUCAUAUUUAUAUAUUGUUUUUAAGUACGUGUUCUCCCCCUCCAGUGCGACCCUCGCCCCACGCUAGCAGCAUUUGUAGUUAUGUGUAUGAUUAUUAAUAAUAAUUAAAUCCUUUAUAUUCUGUAUUAUAUAUAUAUACCCAUAUAAGAGACUUUGUAACCGUCGCGACUUGAUGCAGCUCUACGUAUGCACGCGUGUAAUCGAUGUGUGGUUUUCUAUGUGGAAAUGUAGCCCUGUAAAGACAUAUACUCCUGUUUACAGCGCGGCACUAAUAAAAAGCACAUUUUCUGUGCUAUCUGGUGUCAAAUUUGUAUUAAACAUAGUAUUUUAUCAAUAAAAACUGUUAUGUAAAAAGAAAA